Molecule: ribosomal RNA, 203 nt
Filed under: Faucicola osloensis
Lineage: Bacteria; Pseudomonadati; Pseudomonadota; Gammaproteobacteria; Moraxellales; Moraxellaceae
Description: partial 16S ribosomal RNA
Rfam family: Bacterial small subunit ribosomal RNA
Source: RNAcentral
AAUCGCUAGUAAUCGCAGAUCAGAAUGCUGCGGUGAAUACGUUCCCGGGCCUUGUACACACCGCCCGUCACACCAUGGGAGUCUAUUGCACCAGAAGUAGGUAGCCUAACGAAAGAGGGCGCUUACCACGGUGUGGUCGAUGACUGGGGUGAAGUCGUAACAAGGUAGCCGUAGGGGAACCUGCGGCUGGAUCACCUCCUUAA